This 1704-nucleotide long non-coding RNA is filed under the name Mus musculus (house mouse). Its description in RNAcentral is "long non-coding RNA chr1:15450630-15452334". Lineage: Eukaryota; Metazoa; Chordata; Mammalia; Rodentia; Muridae. The record is from RNAcentral.
AUGUUUUUCCAUUCCAUGGAGUGUGAAAUCACACAAGAGGAAACAUGGAGUUACAGAAAUAUGAGCCUGAGUAUCAGAAAACCCACCCUCAGCCCCUGUGUGUCUGUGCACGGAUGGUCCCACUUAUCUUAAAGUCCCAGAAGCAGCUAUACCCCGGGAAGAGCUUACCUCAAACCUCAAAGUGCCAAACCUCCUAAGAAAAAAACACCAACAUGAAUAAGGUUGACUGCUGUCCUCACUCAAGUUCAUUCCAAAUCAUCAAGAUCUAGCCUAGGAAACGUUCUCUUCAUUUUCAAAGGCCUGAGUCCCCGAUAGUGAAUGUGCCCGUGAAACAAAUUAGGGCAAUGUGAGAAGAGUGUAAACCAGCAUGGAGAAAGAUGAGGGAGUGCUGGAAGGGAAUAGUGAGGCCCUCUUCACAAUCUCAAAACCAGAGGACAUCUACACAGAGAGGACUGUGUGCCCAGCCUCUGACAGGAGCUGGGACCCUGAGAAUAACACAGAACCACACAGCCCAUUGUAGCUCACUAGCCAGUCUUCCUCCAGUGUUCCACUGGCCAAUCUCAAUGGGACUCCAAGUGCAAGAGGCUCUACUGCUGUGGUCUAUUCCAGAGCAUCCUUGGAACACCUGGAGUGAGAAGAAACCAGUAACUAGUGGACUUGUGAAGAAUCUUGGCUUCUUAUGAAGAUCACAACUGUUGGCUUGCUUUCUUUCUUUGGAAAAGACACUAUUCUAGGAGCACACUUGCAAGAGAAACGGUGAAGGGAUCAUGGAGGUAAACCUGCAAUGUUCUUCUAAUUUGCUGAGGUCAUCUGGAGUGAGUUAGUGUGGUACAAUGAAGAAUCAAUCGGGAGUGUGGACUGGAGGUUGCCAUUGAUUUCAGUGAAUGCCAUCGCCUGGUGCAUUAGCUGAGAGUAAAUGCUUCCCUCAUCCAGUGUUGGAACAAGCCUCAAAUCUCUUCGCAAGCCUUUUCUGCACCCAUGUUAAUUAUUCAGACACUUUGCCUUUGAAUAGUGGGAAGUGGUUACUUCUCGGUCUUUGGUUUCAGCACCUUCAGAGUUUGCCCUUUCCCUUGCUCCCCUUGGAUGGAAGGAAAUCUGCAUCUGUGUCUUGUCAGAGACACACACUCAAAUGUUUUCCAUAGUUUCUGCCUAGGCAGAAGCAGCUUGUUCCCAAAGUCUGACAUAGUUUUCAGAGUGAGAGCCUGGCCUGGUCUUAUGCUUAGCCACAUCCUAUUUUUAUCUGGAGGCUUAAAGACCUGCGAGUCUUCGGAACACAGACUCUCCCAGGAUUGCUCUUCUAUCUUUCUGAUGUCAGAAGCUGAAUGUGUAGCUUGAAUGUUGACCCUGCCAGGUGGUACAGAGUGGCUAAUAAAAAAGGCAGACACCAUAAAAAGUGACAUAUUGUUUACAUUUGAAUAAUGUCACCCUCUCUUAGCACUGACAUUAUUUACUAGCCCUUUGUCUCUCCUCAUCAAUCUGUCCAUGGUUUGAGCUUAAACUCCUGGGUGAAAUAUGUUUGAGCAGAAGUAAGAAUACUAUUUUUUUCCAUGUAACAGGGAAAAAAGUGAAAAAAAAAAACUCCCUAGUCUGCUCCUAUUGCCUCUAAUGUGACUCAAAGAUGUGUUUUAAUUUUUUUAACAUAAAAUGAAGACAAAAGAAGGUUCUCAAAACAAAAGCUAUAAUUGUGUGAAAUGUAACAUUUCC